UUCUAAGCAAAGAUAUGAUGUGAAAUU
Molecule: non-coding RNA, 27 nt
Filed under: Bombyx mori (domestic silkworm)
Lineage: Eukaryota; Metazoa; Arthropoda; Insecta; Lepidoptera; Bombycidae
Source: RNAcentral